This 246-nucleotide ribosomal RNA is filed under the name uncultured Candidatus Saccharibacteria bacterium. RNAcentral describes it as "partial 16S ribosomal RNA". It matches the Rfam family "Bacterial small subunit ribosomal RNA", at positions 796 to 1041 of the family's 1533-position model. Lineage: Bacteria; Candidatus Saccharimonadota. The record is from RNAcentral.
CACGCCGUAAACUAUGGAUGCUAGCUGUGUGUCGUAUCGACCCGAUACGUAGCGAAGCUAACGCGUUAAGCAUCCCGCCUGUGGAGUACGGUCGCAAGACUAAAACAUAAAGGAAUUGACGGGGACCCGCACAAGCGGUGGAGCGUGUUGUUUAAUUCGAUGGUAAGCGAAGAACCUUACCCAGGUUUGACAUCCUUCUAAUCUUUCCGAAAGGAGAGAGUGCCUUCGGGCCGAAGUGACAGGUGC